CUCCGCUCCCCCCAGCCAGGAGCCCAGGCCCAGGUGCGGGUCUCCUUCAGGCGGCCCCUCCCGUGGCGGGGCUGGAGGGCGAGGCUGGGGUGGGAGGCGGGAGCGAGGCUACCCGGUGGUCUUCGGGGGGCUGGGCCCAGCCGUGGGGCUCACCCACACCCUAUGGAGGACUCAGUCCUGGAUCGUGGCUAAAGCCCUUCCCUGUGGACUGUGGAAGGCGAUUUCUAGAGCCACUCCUCAAAGGGGAAGCGCUGGGUUGCCCAACUCCCAUGCUAGGGCCCCUCCAAGCCUCAGUAUUAAGGAGCUUCAAAGUCCCCUUCCUGAUUUUGUUUGUUUUUGUUUUUGAGACGGAGUCUUGCUCUGUCGCCCAGGCUGGAGUGCAGUGGGGGAUCUCGGCUCACUGCAACCUCUGCCUCCCGGGUUCAAGCGAUUCUCCUGCCUCAGCCUCGCGAGUAGCUGGGACUACAGGCGCCCGCCACCACGCCCGGCUAAUUUUUUGUAUUUUUAGUAGAGACGGGGUUUCACCACGUUGGCUAGGCUGGGCUAGAACUCCUGACUUCAAGUUAUCUGCCCGCCUGGGCUUCCCAAACUGCUGGAAUUACAGGCGUGAGCCACAGCGCUCGCCCCCCGUACUGAUUUGAGGGUCUCCAGAGCACAAAGGCUGCACCGGAUGAUGAAGAAGGAGCUGAAAGAGCCACAGACUCCGUAGAUCCGGUACAGUCCACACACAGGAAAUUCAGGUCUGGAGGCUGGGAAGCCCAAGAGCAAGGUGUCAGCAGAUGCAGUUCUGGGUCUUAUGCUGAUGCUCAGGCUGGAAUGCAGUGGUGCGAUCACAGCUCAUGGUCACCUCAAACUCCUGGGCUCGAGCAAUCCUCUUACCUCAACCUUCAAGUAGUUGAAGCUACAGUGGAAAGAAGUUAGACGGGUACAAGAGUGAAACUAAUGAAACUGGUUAGGAGGUCAUUCCAAUAGCCCAGGAAAGAUGGUGACUUGGAUUAGGGCAAGGAAAAAUGGAUGUAUGUCAAGAUGUAUUCAGGAGAUAGAAAUGGCUGGAUUGUCUGAGACUGGAUAUGGAAGACAGUGCAAAAGGAAUCAAAGAUAACUUUCAUGUUCCUGUCUUGAGCAACUGACAGAUUCUGGUACUAUUUACAACUAUUUAGUAUCUUCUGUAUUGUUUAUUUGUUAGUUUGUUCCAAUGCUUGGCCACAUUUCACAAGAUGUUUCUUGCUAUUACUGGCUCUCUAUCACCUUUCACAAUUUUACAGUUCUGUUUAUAUUCUAAUUAUAUGGGCCUUCCUAUGAUCUCCUUACAAUGAAUAAUACAGUAUUUUAGAUAGCUUAUCUCCUACUUUUCCACUUUCUCUACAUUGCAUUUACCCCAAGGUGUCUCUGCUUAAUGGAAAUAUUUUAUACUAAUUGAGAUUAAAAAUUAAAAGGCA
Molecule: long non-coding RNA, 1439 nt
Filed under: Homo sapiens (human)
Lineage: Eukaryota; Metazoa; Chordata; Mammalia; Primates; Hominidae
Description: HSALNT0130213
Source: RNAcentral